RNAcentral lists this ribosomal RNA (840 nucleotides) under Bacillus sp. DJCJ23. RNAcentral's name for it is "bacterial SSU rRNA". It matches the Rfam family "Bacterial small subunit ribosomal RNA", at positions 381 to 1212 of the family's 1533-position model. The record is from RNAcentral. Lineage: Bacteria; Bacillati; Bacillota; Bacilli; Caryophanales; Bacillaceae.
GUCUGACGGAGCAACGCCGCGUGAACGAUGAAGGCCUUCGGGUCGUAAAGUUCUGUUGUUAGGGAAGAACAAGUACCAGAGUAACUGCUGGUACCUUGACGGUACCUAACCAGAAAGCCACGGCUAACUACGUGCCAGCAGCCGCGGUAAUACGUAGGUGGCAAGCGUUGUCCGGAAUUAUUGGGCGUAAAGCGCUCGCAGGCGGUUUCUUAAGUCUGAUGUGAAAGCCCACGGCUCAACCGUGGAGGGUCAUUGGAAACUGGGGAACUUGAGUGCAGAAGAGGAGAGUGGAAUUCCACGUGUAGCGGUGAAAUGCGUAGAGAUGUGGAGGAACACCAGUGGCGAAGGCGACUCUCUGGUCUGUAACUGACGCUGAGGAGCGAAAGCGUGGGGAGCGAACAGGAUUAGAUACCCUGGUAGUCCACGCCGUAAACGAUGAGUGCUAAGUGUUAGAGGGUUUCCGCCCUUUAGUGCUGCAGCAAACGCAUUAAGCACUCCGCCUGGGGAGUACGGUCGCAAGACUGAAACUCAAAGGAAUUGACGGGGGCCCGCACAAGCGGUGGAGCAUGUGGUUUAAUUCGAAGCAACGCGAAGAACCUUACCAGGUCUUGACAUCCCACUGCCCGGUAUAGAGAUAUACCUUUCCCUUCGGGGACAGUGGUGACAGGUGGUGCAUGGUUGUCGUCAGCUCGUGUCGUGAGAUGUUGGGUUAAGUCCCGCAACGAGCGCAACCCUUGAUCUUAGUUGCCAGCAUUCAGUUGGGCACUCUAAGGUGACUGCCGGUGACAAACCGGAGGAAGGUGGGGAUGACGUCAAAUCAUCAUGCCCCUUAUGACCUGG